Long non-coding RNA from Stylophora pistillata, 2027 nucleotides. NCBI's taxonomy places the organism in Eukaryota, Metazoa, Cnidaria, Anthozoa, Scleractinia, Pocilloporidae. The record is from RefSeq and is a predicted model, not a curated record.
GACGAGUCGAACUUGGAAAACAACGACUCGACAUAACGAAACGACGAAUCGAACAUUUUGUCCAGGAUCUACCUUCUUAGGUUCUCGCAUGUCGCACAUUUGAAAUGGCCCUCAUUCAGGGAGCAUUUCAGGCGAUUAAUCGCGGAGAUACUCGUCAGAAUAUCUCUCAAGAUAUUUCAUUUGACAGCACAACGCUUCCCGUACUUGUUGCAGAACGUAUUGCGUCCUUCCUGAAUGGUAAAGAUCUGAUAAAUUUGGGAAAGACUUGUAUAUUGUGGAACGAAAUAUCUCGCAAGAACAUCGUUUGGAAAAUCCUCAUCGAGAGACGGUUUGGACGGCAGGCAGUUUCUGAGAACAAAAAUCCCGGGAUACAUUACAGAGGGGUUUAUUUCAAACUAGCUACAAGUAAGAAGCCUGCUACUUCUUUUGAUGUAAGUUGGCUGAACGGUCAUUAUUUACAGAAAGCGAAAGACAGGGAAAGCACAUAUGGAGAAGUGGUUCAACUGAACUCUGUUUGUUGGCUUCAAAUCAACCAGUUUUUCGCCGGCGUUCUUCCAGGAAAAUACGCUUUAGUAUGGCGUAUGAAACUCGAUGGAGUUUACUUAAACUCAAGGGAAUCGAUAGAAUUCCGAGCAAGGCCGGAGGAGGGUUGUGGAAGAGAGCUUUGUUCGAAAUGGACCGAGCCUGAUCUGAAACGUGCAGAACGCCGCUAUGGUAGGCGUAAAUGGUUUGAACAGAACAUGGGGAUUUUUGAAUUGACAGCUACCUGCAAGGUAUACGUUGAGAUUAAAGGAAGAAUAUAUCAGUGGUGUGGUGGCAUAUCGUGGGAUUAUGCUGAAUUAAGGCUACUCUAGUGAUAACUCGAUACAACGAUCAUCUAUGGCAAUUGCGAUUUGAUCCACAGUGAUUAAUUUCCUUUAACAAACCAAUAAUUUGUUUUCUGAAAUAAGUCUUUUUUCUAAGUUUUUUGGCUAAGGAGUGUAACAUUUCAUACUUACCUAUUUCUGGAAAUGUGGAAUAUUCUUAUUAAGUAUCGAUCGAUUUGAAACUUCAACAUCCCCCCUCCGCCCCCUUGGGCAACCUCCUAGGUAUUCAAACUUUUGAAGGAUGUUUUGUUCAAAUUCCCAUCCCCUUGAGCUAGGAUUAUGUUCAAAUGCCUUAACCCAAGUGCCAGUUUUAAUUUCAUAGAUGGUCACAGUUUUUGUGAAGGCAAGAGCAGUGACCAAGGCUCUCUCCACAUUGGCCAGCAAUUGAGUGGACACUUUUGCUUUAACUCCCCACCCCAACCAGGAAAGGGUUCAUUUUCCACACCCCUUACAACAGACAACAAUCAAAUGCCUUUGGGUUACUGAAGGGGGGAAUUUGUAGCUUCAAAUUGAUCAGGCCUAAUAGUGUUCUUGCUUUGGAGAUCAAAGUUGUGCUCUCAGUAGAACCUUCUAGUAUCUGAACACUCUUGUCUUGGAUAUAGGCAAAAUUAUACAAGCAACAGAUAGAGAAAAUAUGGCACCCUGUGACAUCUGGAAAUUACAAGCAAACCAGGUGGGAGCUAUAACAACCACAAGUUCCUUUCUGGUUUAUUACUCUCUCUUUUGGGUUUACAGUUAGUAUUAAAGUUACAUCAAGAGAACACUAUGUUUUCUGUCUCUAGCAGUCUGGACUCUCUAUAUCAGAUGGGUGCAAAGGUUUAUUAAUAAUAUACUGAUAUGCAACCUGCAUAUAUUACAAGGUCUUUUUUCUUAAGUUGUACUUGCCUCAAGUUUAUUGUUUGGUUUUGUUAAUUUGUUAGCUUUGUGUUGAUUUGGGCAAGCCCUUGACUUUCCUUUUAAUGUUCCUCUAGAUAAUCAAAAUAGUGUAAGGUAUUCCACUAACUUGUUGGAACAUGUACUACAAAGCUGAAAGCUAUAACAUGUUGAUUACAUGUAUUGAUUGCUUGGUGCCCCAUAUUGCCCAACAGAUAAACUAAUAUAUAUAGGGAUGGGGGGGAGUAAGGGAAGUGUCUCUUGUGGGCAUAUCUUAACUGGAUAGCA